This 231-nucleotide ribosomal RNA is filed under the name uncultured bacterium. Its description in RNAcentral is "partial 16S ribosomal RNA". It matches the Rfam family "Bacterial small subunit ribosomal RNA", at positions 118 to 351 of the family's 1533-position model. The record is from RNAcentral.
UGAGUAACCUGCCCUAGGCUUUGGGAUAACCCUCGGAAACGGGGGCUAACACCGGAUAUGACUUCUUGCCGCAUGGUGGGGGGUGGAAAGUUUUUCGGCCUGGGAUGGGCUCGCGGUCUAUCAGCUUGUUGGUGGGGUGAUGGCCUACCAAGGCGACGACGGGUAGCCGGCCUGAGAGGGCGACCGGCCACACUGGGACUGAGACACGGCCCAGACUCCUACGGGAGGCAG